ACAAAAAAGGAAGGUGAUGUUUUCAAAGUGUUCAGGGAAUGGCUGGAGGAUAUCUGUAUGACUCCCCUAGCUAAAAAAAGGAAGUAUAUGGUAAUAUUGCAAUCUUCAGUUUUCAACAAAAAUUAAAAAUUUUUCAGGAAAGGUGAAAACUGAAUGGGAGAAAAAAAUGUCAUUAUUGAAUUUUGACCAGUAUGAAUCUUCUCAGUGUAGCCUUCUACUGCAGCUUAACAUCAAAUGGAGCAGACAGACUCUGAGUCUCUUUGGCCCCGCUCCAGCUGGGAGGGAGAUGUGUGUUCAGUGUCUCUCUGAAUCAGAUGCUGUAGGAGAUGUUCCUCUCCUGGGUCAGAGUCAUUCCACAGCUCAUGCCUUCAUACAGCAGGAGUGCUCUCUUCCAGGCACUGUGCUGGAAAUCCAGUUUGGUAAAUGGAAAACUUUCCUGUGGAAUGUGAUUUCAGACCCAAAUUACUCGGAUCUGUCCCUAAAAUCUUCAAGGCACAUUGUUUUCAGAAGCUUUUUCCCCUUCCAUUUGCUCAGGUGGCCCUGGCAGCAUGCACAGCUCUGAGCACGGCUACUGCUCGGCCCCUGCAGCCUGGGAGAAGUGCAGCUUCAAGCACUGAGCCAACACAGCAAUAAACUGUAAUUGUUUAGUGCACCUUGCCUUCUGAUACAAUUUAAAUCCCUUCUAUCAAAUGCAAAUUUCUAGGUUCCCGAGUGGAACUUUAAAUAGCAUUUUCUGUGCUCAUUCCUUAUCUUUUGCCAUCCACAAAGUUCUAGUGACAGUGGGAUGGCAUAAUUCCACCCCCAUCAUUUUAGUUCCUAAAGGAAAGCUGCCUACUCAAAUCUGGCAGUAAUGGGCCAGAUGAGGAGUGAAUUGGUGCUUUUCUGUAGAGUCUGCCUCUCUCUCUUGCCCUCCCUAAGUUAUUACAGCCCACGAGUGUUCUCACCAAAAGCUGUUCAGCAUCCAGUGAUGCUUGCAGGAUGCAAUCAGUGUAAUAUUUUAAUCACUUUCAUUUUAGUGAGUCAGACUCUGCUUCCUACUUGCUCCCUUCCAUGUCUCCUAUGAAUAACUUGGUAGAGUUUAGGAUCUUGGGCUGGCUUUAGACAAACUGCCUGCCUAUGUUCAGAAGAAAUGCAAAUCCUUGGCUGAGGAGUAGCUGCUUUGGAAAUCACUCAGUCAUUGACCUGACCUGAAUUAAAGGCAAAAAUGUCAAACCCUUUAAUGAUUUGCCUUAUCUAAGUUUUUGACUUGGAGGAAGAGAAGCUUAAAUUGCUCCACUGAGGAUAAGAAGCAUAGGGAUCGCUGGAGUAAUGAGAACAGGUAGGAGCAGCUUUGUAAGAUAGAUGGGGAACAGUGUCUGUGCUCCAAAACUGAGCAGCUUGGAAGUGAUGAGGGCUGUUCUUUAGAUUGUGCAUCACAUGUUUGAAUUUUACUAUUACUUCAGAGGCUGACAAAAUUAUGAGGGGAGAAAGAAAUCUACCUGGAGAUGUUUGGAAUCUAUUUUUGGGGUAAAAUAACAGGACAUUUAGCUCGGCUCAAUAUUAAAUAGUCUUUUCUAAACUCCUUCUCAUUGUUACCUCAGCUGUAAAAUAGGGAGUUUGUGCUCUGUUGAAGCUUAAUUAAAUGACUGUGAAGUGCUUUGGGAUCCUGAGGUGAAUGUUAAAGAAAUUAUUUUGUGGAAACCUAGCUGAAAAGUCCCAUCUCAUCUCCAGGUUACUAAAAAGGCUUUAUUUUAAUUUUCCCAGGUUUAUUAUGUUUUAAUCAGACAAUUAUUAAACAAAUCUUAAUCAGAUUUAAUAGAUUUCUAUCUUGAUCAGAGAGGGCUAGAAAAGAUAAUGAGCUGCUUUACUACAUGUGCUCUUAGGAGCUAAUCUUUGCAGUUGGUGUCUUGCUCAGAUUCUGUCUCCUGCAUGAUCCGGGUUCAUAUCCUCACACUGAUUGCUCUUAUGAUAUCUUUUUUAUCUUAUUUUUAAUAUAAUCUUUUUUGUCACCCUGAUGUCUUAGUGCUGUUUGCUCUGUGUACUAACCAGCACUGUUAACAUCUCUUGCAUCAUUUAUCCUCAAGCUUUCCCCAGGAACAAAGGGUGCAAUGUGACAGUGGGAAAUUUUGUGUGGUGUGCCAUGGGUUUGUCAGAGAAAGCUGGAAGGAAUCUCUGUCUUCCUACUCCAUGUGUAAGGAAUAACUUGGGUUUUCAAGGACGGCGUGACACAAUAUGGACUACCUACAAUGAAGACAUAUGAACUCUGGAGCACACCAAACAAAUUCCUUGCAUACUUGUUUUCCAGCACAGCAUCAAUCACCACAGGGAUGGGAGAGUGUCCAAAACAGCAGGAGAAAAUGCUACAGCUUGCAGUUCUCAGAUUGUAAUUCAUUUAAAGCCAGGAACAUUAGCUGUACCACUCUAACAUCAGAUACAAAUCUCUUUUCUCCUUUCGCCCAUUUACUAUCUCAAAAGCAUUGAGAUUCAAUAUUUAAAGUUGUCCAGUGUAGAUCCUCAGCUGGUGCAAAGUGACAUAACUGUGCUCAACAGCUGUUCCUGGUCUUUGAAGGCAAUGGAGCUGUGGUGAUUUACAUCUGCUGAGGUAUGAUCUAUCACUGUAUUUCCUCGGCUUUGUCUUUGCCGGCUUGUUUUUCUGCUCUUUUUGCUUGACAAAACAAAUGACACAAUUCCUA
Non-coding RNA from Cyanistes caeruleus (blue tit), 2672 nucleotides. NCBI's taxonomy places the organism in Eukaryota, Metazoa, Chordata, Aves, Passeriformes, Paridae. The record is from RefSeq and is a predicted model, not a curated record.